RNA transcript from Mesocricetus auratus (golden hamster), 2260 nucleotides. It is a transcript of the gene named KH RNA binding domain containing, signal transduction associated 2, with no coding region annotated. NCBI's taxonomy places the organism in Eukaryota, Metazoa, Chordata, Mammalia, Rodentia, Cricetidae. The record is from RefSeq and is a predicted model, not a curated record. The transcript is spliced from 15 exons.
GGGGCGCGGGAGAAGCAGGUAUCGGCGCGGGCUGCGCAGCCCCAGGCGCGAGAGCUGCGCUCACCGGCGGCGGAGGCAGAAGGACGGUCCCCGCGGGAGCCAGGGACCGCGGCGGCGUCCGAGCGGGCGGGGUUCGCGCCUGGCCGGGCACGGUCCGAAGUCCGCGCUAUGGGAGAAGAGAAAUACUUGCCUGAGCUGAUGGCAGAGAAGGAUAGUCUGGAUCCAUCUUUUGUGCACGCGUCGCGCCUUCUGGCAGAAGAAAUUGAGAAAUUUCAAGGUUCAGAUGGAAAAAAGGAAGACGAAGAAAAGAAGUAUCUUGAUGUCAUCAGCAACAAAAACAUAAAGCUUUCUGAAAGAGUAUUGAUUCCUGUUAAACAAUACCCAAAGUUCAACUUUGUUGGGAAAUUGCUUGGACCAAGAGGAAACUCCCUGAAGAGGCUACAGGAAGAUACAGGUGCUAAGAUGUCUAUCCUGGGCAAAGGAUCGAUGCGUGAUAAAGCAAAGGAAGAAGAGCUGAGGAAGAGCGGGGAGGCCAAGUAUGCACACCUGAGUGAUGAGCUGCAUGUAUUAAUUGAAGUGUUUGCUCCACCUGGGGAGGCUUAUUCACGGAUGAGUCACGCCUUGGAAGAGAUUAAAAAAUUCCUGGUUCCUGACUACAAUGAUGAAAUUCGCCAAGAACAACUCCGGGAGUUGUCUUACUUAAAUGGCUCAGAAGAGUCUGGCCGUGGCCGAGGUCUUAGAGGCAGAGGAAUCAGAAUAACUCCCAUAGCUCCUUCAAGGGGCCGUGGGGGUGCUGUUCCUCCACCACCACCACCUGGACGAGGAGUUCUUACCCCUAGGGGGACCACUGUGACCCGUGGAGCUCUUCCAGUGCCACCAAUAGCGAGAGGUGUCACUACUCCUCGUGCCCGGGGGACAGCGGCAGUACCAGGAUACAGAGCACCCCCACCUCCAGCCCACGAGGCUUAUGAAGAAUAUGGGUACGAUGAUGGUUAUGGGGGUGAAUAUGAUGACCAGACCUAUGAGGCUUACGAUAAUAGCUACAUAACCCCAACACAAAGUGUGCCUGAAUACUAUGACUAUGGUCAUGGAGUAAAUGACGAUGCCUAUGACAGCUACGCAACAGAAGAAUGGGCCACAACUCGUUCCAGCCUGAAGGCACCACCACCAAGGUCAGCCAGAGGGGGAUACAGGGAACACCCCUAUGGUAGAUAUUGAAGGUCCUCUUCAUCUGUGACCUCCUCAAAGACAGUUCAUAGCCUCUGGUCUCCACACAAACAGCAACAAGACAAGUACGCACAAAGAGCACUUAAAUGGUAGCAGAUGUGAUGGGCUAAGGAGGAUAAAGGACUUCAUUCCUUUGUAUGGCUGAAUAGUAUUCUACUAUGCAUAUGGACUAUAUUUACCUCAUCCGUUCAUCAGUUGAUAGUCAUUUUGGUAACUCCAUGCCUUGACUACUGUGAAUAGAGCUUCGAUGAACAUAGGAAUGAAGACUAAAGAAGUUAAUUUGGCCCAGGACUGAAAUAUUGCAUCAUAAAGGAGAUGAGAUGGGAUGGAAUAGUCAGAUAUGGACAAACAGUAAAACAAUGACACAUCUAACCUUCAUGCUGCCAUGGUUACCAUGUACAGGACAUCAUAAUGGAAGCUAAGUGCGAAGUGUAAAAGUCUGUAAAUCAGGUCCCCACCUCCAGGGCUGCAGAAUCUGGAGGAAAAGUAAAGAUUAAAGUGCACAGAGAACAAUACUUAUUUUCAUUAUGGAAAUAUUCAAAUGGCAACUGAGCUAUCCAAUUCAUCAAAGAAAUUAUAUGUUGAACAUGACACAGAUUUAUUGAUGCUGCCAGAAGUCCAGUGAAAACUGAGGAUCAAAUCCCUUGCAGUUUGAACCACUGGAUUAGAAGGAAAAACCUAAAUGCAAUUUGCUAAUGGAAACAACACACUGAUGAGGUCAUCAAGGGAAAUUCAUAAUUUGCUGACCGAUACAACUAACCUGAAGCAUUUUCGGAGCACAAAAUAGUGAAAAGGUGAUAAAGCUUUAAUUUGUAAGAGACAUAGUUAAAUACUGUUGUGUUUAGGAGCCAUAAAGCUUUCAGUGUUUGGGGUAUAGUUAAUAAAGAUGUAUGAAGGAACAACGCAAACCCUAACCCAUAAAAAGCAAUCAAAUUAUUGAGAUCUUUAAAUAAAAGGCUUUUUAUUUCAUUUUGUAGAAAUGCUAUUUGGAUAUACAAAUGAAAUUAAUAAAACAUGAGUUUGGAAAUGUCAA